Molecule: ribosomal RNA, 420 nt
Filed under: uncultured archaeon
Lineage: Archaea
Description: partial 16S ribosomal RNA
Rfam family: Archaeal small subunit ribosomal RNA
Source: RNAcentral
CUACGGGGGGCACCAGGCGCGUAACCUCUACAAUGCACGAAAGUGUGAUAGGGGGAUCCUGAGUGCUCAGCUAUGCUGGGCUUUUGCCAAGAGUAAAAACCUUGGCGAAUAAGUGGUGGGUAAGACUGGUGCCAGCCGCCGCGGUAACACCAGCGCCACGAGUGGUAAUCGCUUUUAUUGGGCCUAAAGCGUCCGUAGCAGGUUUUGUAAAUCUUAUGUGAAAUUGUUGCGCUUAACGUAACAGCGUGCAUAAGACACUGCAAGACUUGGGACCGGGAGGAGUCAGAGGUAUUUCUUGGGGAGCGGUAAAAUGCUAUAAUCCGAGAAGGACCACCUAUGGCGAAGGCAUCUGACUAGAACGGAUCCGACUGUGAGGGACGAAAGCCAGGGGAGCGAACCGGAUUAGAUACCCCUGUAGUC